UUAUGUUUUCGUUACAAUGUUGUGGUUAGGAUUUAUAAUGAUAACCGCGGUGACCGAUAUGUCAGCCAACACUCAAAAUGACAAAAUGCAUGAUGACACAAAAGUUCUGCAAAUGCUGAUUGAUUGUGGAGGAAGUGUGGCAUCUUUAAGAAAUGAGCUUAAAGAUAUAAAAGAAAAGUUGGAACGUGUGAGCACGAGGCAAGCAACGGGCACGUAUAUAAGAUGGGGAAGAUCUUCAUGACCAAGUGGAGCUACGACUAUUUACGAUGGAUUUACUGCUGGAUCUGAUGCAUACCACAGUGGAGCAGCUGCUAAUCAUAUAUGUCUGACUAAGAAACCAAAAUACCACUACUAUGCGAAUAAGCCGAAGUGGACAACAUUAAUAUAUGGAGCGCAAUAUAAAACUUUAAACAGUAUUUGGAACAACUUACACAGUCAUGAUAUUCCGUGUGCCGGUUGUCAUGUUCGGCGUUCAAGUAUCAUCAUGCAUCCUGGACGAGAUGAUUGUCCAGACAACUUCAAGUGAGAGUACGGAGGUUACCUAAUGGCUGGUCAUUAUAAACAUGACGCAGCUACCGAGUUUGUCUGCUUUGACGGUAAUUCACAUGCUGACAAAUAUUCAAGCUCAGCAGGUCAUGACGGGUCGUUGUUUUACUUUGUUGAAGCGGCAUGUGGCGCAUUGAAAUGUCGGCCUUAUGAAUCGGGGAAACAGAUCACGUGUGCUGUGUGUUCAUAUUCUCCUUAGAUUUUUU
Long non-coding RNA from Ruditapes philippinarum (Manila clam), 752 nucleotides. RefSeq lists it as uncharacterized. The record is from RefSeq and is a predicted model, not a curated record. NCBI's taxonomy places the organism in Eukaryota, Metazoa, Mollusca, Bivalvia, Venerida, Veneridae. The transcript has 2 exons.